CCCUUAGAUGUUCUGGGCCGCACGCGUGCUACACUGAGUGGAUCAGCGGGUCAGGUUGCGCGAAAGCGUUUCCUAAUCUUUAAAUCCGCUCGUGAUGGGGAUUGACGGUUGCAAUUUUCUGUCAUGAACGAGGAAUACCUUGUAAGCGCGGGUCAUCAUCCCGCGCUGAAUACGUCCCUGCCCUUUGUACACACCGCCCGUCGCUCCUACCGAUUGAGCGAUCCGGUGAAUGUUUUGGACUGGUGUCCGCAAGCGUUUCGCUUCGGACGCUACGAAAUUUUGUAAACCUUAUCGCUUAGAGGAAGGAAAAGUCGUAACA
This 319-nucleotide ribosomal RNA is filed under the name uncultured eukaryote. RNAcentral's name for it is "partial 18S ribosomal RNA". It matches the Rfam family "Eukaryotic small subunit ribosomal RNA", at positions 1470 to 1796 of the family's 1831-position model. The record is from RNAcentral.